Molecule: long non-coding RNA, 519 nt
Organism: Prionailurus viverrinus (fishing cat)
Lineage: Eukaryota; Metazoa; Chordata; Mammalia; Carnivora; Felidae
Exons: 3
Source: RefSeq, a predicted model, not a curated record
GAGGAGUUCAGUCUCCACAACGUUUACCGAGGGCGUGCUAGGUGCCAGGCCUUGGGGCAGGCACAGAAGACAUGAUCCCGAACAAGACAGGCUGGCUCCUCCAGCAGCUUUUGUUCUGAAACAGGAUAGCAGUUUAGGGGAAUGCAUUCAUUUUCAACUGCAGGAGAAAGAAUAACUCCAGAGAACUACAACGUUAUGCUGAGCCAAAUUAGCAGUGAAAUUGAAGAGCAGGAUAAAAUGACUGACAUACAAGGGUUCAGCCCCCACAGAUCCUCUCUGAGAAGAUAUACUUGAGUGUUUCUAGCAAGAAGAAAAGCGACCCUAAGAAAGUGAUCAAGUCACAGGAAGGUGGUACCUUGCAUCCUAUUGGGAUGGAGACUGAAUACUUCAGUUUCAAAACAGGAUGAGGUUCAUGUGACAGAAGGAAGCGCCCAUGAAUCAGCUGUCCAGACUCCUUUUAGGUGAACCAGAACCCCCACAGCCACAGCCUCUCAAGUGGAGAUUUUAAAGCAGUAACGU